This 425-nucleotide ribosomal RNA is filed under the name uncultured bacterium. RNAcentral describes it as "partial 16S ribosomal RNA". It matches the Rfam family "Bacterial small subunit ribosomal RNA", at positions 354 to 796 of the family's 1533-position model. The record is from RNAcentral.
GUGGGGGAUAUUGCACAAUGGGGGAAACCCUGAUGCAGCGACGCCGCGUGAAGGAAGACGUACUUCGGUAUGUAAACUUCUAUCAGCAGGGAAGAAGAUGACGGUACCUGACUAAGAAGCCCCGGCUAACUACGAGCCAGCAGCCGCGGUAAUACGUAGGGGGCAAGCGUUAUCCGGAUUUACUGGGUGUAAAGGGAGCGUAGACGGUGAAGCAAGUCUGAUGUGAAAACCCGGGGCUCAACUCCGGGAUUGCAUUGGAAACUGUUUUACUUGAGUGCUGGAGGGGCAAGCGGAAUUCCUGGUGUAGCGGUGAAAUGCGUAGAUAUCAGGAAGAACACCGGUGGCGAAGGCGGCUUGCUGGACAGUAACUGACGUUGAGGCUCGAAAGCGUGGGGAGCAAACAGGAUUAGAUACCCUUGUAGUCC